Molecule: ribosomal RNA, 371 nt
Filed under: uncultured organism
Description: bacterial SSU rRNA
Rfam family: Bacterial small subunit ribosomal RNA
Source: RNAcentral
CGUAGGGUGCGAGCGUUAAUCGGAAUUACUGGGCGUAAAGCGUGCGCAGGCGGUGAUGUAAGACAGAUGUGAAAUCCCCGGGCUCAACCUGGGAACUGCAGUUUGUGACUGCAUCGCUGGAGUGCGGCAGAGGGGGAUGGAAUUCCGCGUGUAGCAGUGAAAUGCGUAGAUAUGCGGAGGAACACCGAUGGCGAAGGCAAUCCCCUGGCCUGCACUGACGCUCAUGCACGAAAGCGUGGGGAGCAAACAGGAUUAGAUACCCUGGUAGUCCACGCCCUAAACGAUGUCAACUGGUUGUUGGGUCGUUCACUGACUCAGUAACGAAGCUAACGCGUGAAGUUGACCGCCUGGGGAGUACGGCCGCAAGGUUG